GACGAACGCUGGCGGCGUGCUUAACACAUGCAAGUCGAACGGAAAGGCCCUGCUUUUGUGUGGUGCUCGAGUGGCGAACGGGUGAGUAACACGUGAGUAACCUUCCCUUGACUUUGGGAUAACUUCAGGAAACUGGGGCUAAUACCGGAUAGGAGCUCCUGCUGCAUGGUGGGGGUUGGAAAGUUUCGGCGGUUGGGGAUGGACUCGCGGCUUAUCAGCUUGUUGGUGGGGUAGUGGCUUACCAAGGCUUUGACGGGUAGCCGGCCUGAGAGGGUGACCGGCAACAUUGGGACUGAGAUACGGCCCAGACUCCUACGGGAGGAAGCAGUGGGGAAUAUUGCACAAUGGGCGGAAGCCUGAUGCAGCAACGCCGCGUGCGGGAUGACGGCAUUCGGGUUGUAAACCGCUUUCGCCUGUGACGAAGCGUGAGUGACGGUAAUGGGUAAAGAAGCACCGGCUAACUACGUG
This 468-nucleotide ribosomal RNA is filed under the name uncultured bacterium. Its description in RNAcentral is "partial 16S ribosomal RNA". It matches the Rfam family "Bacterial small subunit ribosomal RNA", at positions 28 to 507 of the family's 1533-position model. The record is from RNAcentral.